AUGGCGUGGUGGUCGGACAAGCUGUCGCUGGGCGGGCUGCAGGACAUCGCCGGGGCUGUCAACAAGAUCAGCGAGAGCGUCAAGAACAUCGAGAAGAACUUCGACAGCGCGCUCGGCCUCGAGGAGAAGCGCGACGACGCGGAGGAAGGGUCAGGAUCCCGUACAUCUAACUCUGAUGGAAUUGGAUUCUUUAAUCCUGUCAUGGCAUUCAUGGGACAUAAUGGCGAGGAGAGUUCUACGGAAGUAUCAGAAAAGCAACCAUCACCAAAGCAUGCACCAGCACUAGAAGAAAAUCAUCGGGUCGCCACCGAGCCACCUACAUCUGAAGCAGAUGCCUCUGAAGUACCAGUAACAACACAAUCUCCAAAGCACCCUUCAGAAUUACAAGAAAACGUUAGCAGCUCCGCUGAGUCACCUGUAUCUAAGGCGGAUGAUUCUGAGCAGUCUGUAACACCACAAUCUCCAAUACAUUCUUCAGCAGCAGAAGAUAAGCAUGAUGGCUCCACUGAGGCACCUGGAUCGGAGGGGGGCACUUCUGAAGUAUCAGAAACAGCACAGUCCUCAACAUAUCCAUCUGUAGCAGAAGAAACUUAUGGCGGAUCUGUUGAGACCAGUAACUUUGUUGAGAAGGAAACCCAGGGUCAUCAAGACACUGAAUAUUCUGAUCCUAAUGAUGAAGCUUUACCGAGUCAGCCUGAUGAGUCUGUUAGGGACAUACCUGAUGAUAGAACGUCUUCACCUAACAAAUUGGAUCAAUCAAGUGUUAUUGGAACGGAAGAAUCUGUGGAUGCUGGAAAUGAAGUCACUGAUGAUGGGAACAUGCGGUCACAAUCAGCAGAUUCCAUGGUCGCCAGUUCAGAUGAUGUAAAUAAAACUAAGGUGAACAUCGUUCAAGAAGUUGAUGUCCAAAAGGAAAUAAUCAGCCCACCGGAGAGCAGUGAUAUUGCUGACAAAGCCAGUCACGGGGAAGUCAAAGUACAUGAUGGCCAAACUAAUACAACCAAGAAUGGGGAAGGGAACAAUCAAACAGAAGCACAUGCUGUAUCUGCUGUCGAAAAUGAGGAUAAUGCAACGGCGAAGCUUGAAAACCUUAGCUCAAAGUCAAUAAUUGUGGACAAUAGUCCAGACUUGCAAAAUGAGUUGGUACCUGCUGCUGCCUACACGCCUGUUGGUCCAGUAGAAGUUGAUUCUCAUGCAAAUGAUUCGAGAGAAGAGGAAAAAAUUCAGGACGCUGUUACAACCACAAAUUCUCUGGAAUCUGUUGGUUCUGUCAUUGAACUCGAGAAACUAAAACGUGAUAUGAAGAUGAUGGAAGCUGCAUUGCAAGGUGCUGCAAGACAGUCCCAGUCCAAAGCUGAUGAAAUCGCUCGACUGAUGAAUGAGAACGAGCAACUGAAAUCAACAAUUAAUGAGCUAAAGGGCAAUAAGUCGGUUGAGGAAGAAAUGGAUGCACUUAAGGAUGAAUAUCACCAACGUGUAGCAACUCUUGAAAGGAAGGUGUAUGCACUAACCAAAGAACGAGAUACAUUAAGGAGAGAGCAAAAUAAGAAAAGUGAUGCGGCCGCUCUUUUGAAAGAAAAGGACGAGAUUAUCACUCAGGUCAUGGCUGAAGGAGAAGAGCUAUCGAGAAAGCAGGCUGCUCAAGAAUCUACAAUACGAAAACUGAGAGCACAGAUUCGUGAGUUUGAAGAAGAAAAACAAAGGUUGAACUCAAAGAUUCAGGUUGAGGAGACAAAGGUUGAGAGUAUUAAAAGAGACAAGGCAGCAACUGAAAAGUUGCUACAAGAAACAAUAGAAAGAAAUCAAACUGAGCUCGCAGCUCAGAAGGAGUUCUACACGAAUGCUCUUAAUGCAGCGAAAGAGGCUGAGGCAUUGGCUGAAUCAAGAGUCAACACAGAAGCCAAAGUUGAGCUCGAGAGCCGUUUAAGAGAAGCCUGUGAAAAAGAAAAUAUGCUGAUUAACACAAUUGAGGAGUUGAGGAAUGCUCUCACCAGACAAGAACAGGAGGCUGCUUUCAGGGAAGAACGGUUAAAAAGAGAUCAUGACGAUCUCCAAAAGCGCUAUCAGGCCAGUGAACUUCGUUAUAAUGAACUGGUCACGCAAGUUCCUGAGUCGACAAGACCACUCCUAAGGCAAAUUGAAGCCAUGCAGGAGUCAGCUGCUCGAAGGGAAGAAGCUUGGGCUGGUGUGGAGAGAACCUUGAACUCUCGCCUUCAGGAAGCGGAGGCGAAAGCUGCUGCCUCAGAAGAAAAGGAGCGAUCUAUAAAUGAGAGACUGUCACAAAAUUUAUCCCGCAUAACUGUCCUGGAGACCCAGAUUACAAUUCUUAGGACAGAACAGACACAGCUGAGCCGAUCUCUUGAAAAGGAGAGACAAAGAGCAUCUGAAAGUAGACAGGAGUACCUAGCAAAUAAGGAGGAGGCGGCAUUACAAGAAGGACGCGCCAAACAGCUUGAAGAAGAAAUAAAGGAGCUUAGAGCUAGGCACAAAAAGGAGCUGCAAGAAGCAGCAGAACACAGGGCGCUGCUUGAGACGGACCUUGAAAGGGAAAAGGCUGCCAGGGCAGAACUUGAGAAAACAUCUUCCCGCGACUUGCCUAAAAUUCCACUUCCAGAUCAAACAAAAAAUGCUCCCCAAAGAAAGCUCUCUAGUGUCAGUAGUAUGGAAGAAAGCCACUUCCUUCAAGCAUCAUUGGACUUGUCAGAUAGUGCUUCGUUGGAGAGGAGAAUGUCUGCAGACAGUAAUAUGUCAUACUAUCUGAGGAGCAUGACUCCAAGUGCUUUUGAAUCAGCACUCCGUCAAAAGGAUGGAGAAUUGGCUUCUUACAUGUCACGCUUGGCCUCACUGGAAUCUAUUCGGAAUUCCCUGGCAGAGGAGUUGGUAAAACUGACGGAACAAUGUGAAAAGUUGCGGAAUGAAGCUGCUGCUCUGCCUGGCCUAAAGGCUGAACUGGAAGCACUGAAACAAAGACACUUUCACGCUCUAGAACUUAUGGGGGAACGUGAUGAAGAGUUGGAAGAGCUACGGAAUGAUAUUGUUGACCUAAAGGACAUGUACAGAGAACAAGUGGAUCUUCUUGUUAGCCAGCUCCACACAUUGGGCGCCCGUGUAUAG
Molecule: ribosomal RNA, 3114 nt
Filed under: Triticum aestivum (bread wheat)
Lineage: Eukaryota; Viridiplantae; Streptophyta; Magnoliopsida; Poales; Poaceae
Description: partial small subunit ribosomal RNA
Source: RNAcentral